CUACGGGUUGCUCCAGUGGGGAAUAUUGGGCAAUGGGCGCAAGCCUGACCCAGCAACGCCGCGUGAGGGAAGAAGGUUUUCGGAUUGUAAACCUCUGUCCUUGGGGACGAAGAAGUGACGGUACCCAAGGAGGAAGCUCCGGCUAACUACGUGCCAGCAGCUGCGGUAAUACGUAGGGAGCAAGCGUUGUCCGGAAUUACUGGGCGUAAAGGGUGCGUAGGCGGCAUAUUAAGUCAGGUGUGAAAUACUCGGGCUCAACCCGGGGGCUGCAUUUGAAACUGAUAUGCUUGAGUGUGAGAGAGGAAAGUGGAAUUCCUAGUGUAGCGGUGGAAUGCGUAGAUAUUAGGAGGAACACCAGUGGCGAAGGCGACUUUCUGGCUCAUAACUGACGCUGAGGCACGAAAGCGUGGGGAGCAAACAGGAUUAGAUACCCUCGUAGUC
Molecule: ribosomal RNA, 441 nt
Filed under: uncultured bacterium
Lineage: Bacteria
Description: partial 16S ribosomal RNA
Rfam family: Bacterial small subunit ribosomal RNA
Source: RNAcentral